RNAcentral lists this ribosomal RNA (492 nucleotides) under uncultured bacterium. Its description in RNAcentral is "partial 16S ribosomal RNA". It matches the Rfam family "Bacterial small subunit ribosomal RNA", at positions 29 to 507 of the family's 1533-position model. The record is from RNAcentral.
AGUUAACGCUGGCGGUAGGCCUAACACAUGCAAGUCGAACGGCAGCACAGUAAGAGCUUGCUCUUACGGGUGGCGAGUGGCGGACGGGUGAGGAAUACAUCGGAAUCUACUUUUUCGUGGGGGAUAACGUAGGGAAACUUACGCUAAUACCGCAUACGACCUACGGGUGAAAGCAGGGGAUCUUCGGACCUUGCGCGAUUGAAUGAGCCGAUGUCGGAUUAGCUAGUUGGCGGGGUAAAGGCCCACCAAGGCGACGAUCCGUAGCUGGUCUGAGAGGAUGAUCAGCCACACGGGAACUGAGACACGGUCCAGACUCCUACGGGAGGAAGCAGUGGGGAAUAUUGGACAAUGGGCGCAAGCCUGAUCCAGCCAUACCGCGUGGGUGAAGAAGGCCUUCGGGUUGUAAAGCCCUUUUGUUGGGAAAGAAAAGCAGCAGGUUAAUACCCCGCUGUUCUGACGGUACCCAAAGAAUAAGCACCGGCUAACUUCGUG